Molecule: non-coding RNA, 73 nt
Organism: Gregarina niphandrodes
Lineage: Eukaryota; Apicomplexa; Conoidasida; Eugregarinorida; Gregarinidae
Source: the annotation of a RefSeq genome assembly
GCCUUCUUAGCUUAGGGGGCAGAGAAUUCGCUUAGUAAGCGAAAGGUCGCCGGUCCGAUUCCGGCAGAAGGCU